ACUUGAGCAUCGGAGGGUCUUGUCGGAGCACCUCCAACUCUGGUUUAGACUUCCCUUACAGGUCUCGACGGCGGACGUGACCCCACGACUCCAGCUUCUCCGAUGUCGGUGGAAUUCUGCACCAACAGAAUUGGUGCUAGAAGAAGGGGCUGUGUCUUCAUAGUACCCUUGUUCUUAAAGGAGUGCUCAACGGGACUAUCUUCGGUCACCUUCUCCGAUAUCUACUUCUCCUUCUCCUGUCAGAUAUCCACCUGAUGCCUCCCUGAAAGGCAUCCACCAGGCGAUCCACGGCC
RNAcentral lists this long non-coding RNA (293 nucleotides) under Elaeis guineensis (African oil palm). RNAcentral describes it as "long non-coding RNA (EGUI_LNC064458)". The record is from RNAcentral. Lineage: Eukaryota; Viridiplantae; Streptophyta; Magnoliopsida; Arecales; Arecaceae.